This 468-nucleotide ribosomal RNA is filed under the name uncultured bacterium. Its description in RNAcentral is "partial 16S ribosomal RNA". It matches the Rfam family "Bacterial small subunit ribosomal RNA", at positions 28 to 507 of the family's 1533-position model. The record is from RNAcentral.
GACGAACGCUGGCGGCGUGCUUAACACAUGCAAGUCGAACGGAAAGGCCCUGCUUUUGUGGGGUGCUCGAGUGGCGAACGGGUGAGUAACACGUGAGUAACCUGCCCUUGACUUUGGGAUAACUUCUGGAAACUGGGGUUAAUACCGGAUAGGAGCUCCUGCUGCAUGGUGGGGGUUGGAAAGUUUCGGCGGUUGGGGAUGGUCUCGCGGCUUAUCAGCUUGUUGGUGGGGUAGUGGCUUACCAAGGCUUUGACGGGUAGCCGGCCUGAGAGGGUGGCCGGCCACAUUGGGACUGAGAUACGGCCCAGACUCCUACGGUGGGCAGCAGUGGGGAAUAUUGCACAAUGGGCGGAAGCCUAAUGCAGCAACGCCGCGUGCGGGAUGACGGCCUUCGGGUUGUAAACCGCUUUCGCCUGUGACGAAGCGUGAGUGACGGUAAUGGGUAAAGAAGCACCGGCUAACUACGUG